CCAGACUCCUACGGGAGGCAGCAGUGAGGAAUAUUGGUCAAUGGUCGGGAGACUGAACCAGCCAAGCCGCGUGAGGGAUGAAGGUACAGAGUAUCGUAAACCUCUUUUGUCAGGGAACAAAGGCGGGGACGUGUCCCCGGAUGAGUGUACCUGAAGAAAAAGCAUCGGCUAACUCCGUGCCAGCAGCCGCGGUAAUACGGGGGAUGCGAGCGUUAUCCGGAUUUAUUGGGUUUAAAGGGUGCGUAGGCGGCGCUUCAGGUCAGCGGUGAAAUACCGGGGCUCAACCCCGGGGCUGCCGUUGAAACCGGAGCGCUAGAAUUCCGAUGCCGUCGGAGGAAUGUGUGGUGUAGCGGUGAAAUGCAUAGAUAUCACGCAGAACUCCGAUUGCGAAGGCAGCAUACCGGCGCCCGACUGACGCUGAGGCACGAAAGCGUGGGUAUCGAACAGGAUUAGAUACCCUUGUA
This 464-nucleotide ribosomal RNA is filed under the name uncultured bacterium. Its description in RNAcentral is "bacterial SSU rRNA". It matches the Rfam family "Bacterial small subunit ribosomal RNA", at positions 331 to 792 of the family's 1533-position model. The record is from RNAcentral.